UUCUACCACCACCUACUCCCAUUACACUUGACCUUGACUAAGAUUUCCCCACUUAGAACUAAUGACUGUUUACUGUAUGUUUUUAACACCCAGUUUGCAGGGCUCAAUUUUGCACUUUUGAACUUGCGGUUGUACAACCUCUCUGACAUCAAACUGCUGCACCUAUAUCAACUUCCAUGUUGAGUCUCACAUCAUCUAUCCUUACAUACAAAGUCUUUACGUCUACUGCAAACAGUUCAGUUCCUUUUACUUUACCCAACUCAUAGUCAGUGGUGAAAACGGCUGAGGUCUCUUUAUCAGAGUUUUCACUCAUUUGAGAUGUAAUGCUCCAAACUCUGGCACUUGAGUGCGAUGCAAUGCUCCUGUGUUGAAAUGACGUUUUUGUCCCCUCUCUCGCUGGUGUGCGUUGCCCUGAUCAUCGUUGCUCCACUCGUCUUCCUGCAGUCACAGUAAGGAGGCCCCUCUCUCUUCUCAGUAGCAUCCGGGUGCUUAUUCAAUUUCACUUGCCUCGUUUAAUUGUUUCCCACUUGACGCGAGCGGCAAGUCAUGGCUACGUGUCCUUUCUUCUUGCACGUAGCGCCACUCAUCUGGCUUGUGCCUUUUCCCACACAAUGGUAACAUGGUUUACAGGUUGCCUCCGUUUUCUUGGCAACGCUUUUCUCCUCAACUGCAUUUGCUUUGAAAGUAUUUUGUAAAGACUGCAGUGUGCUUUUCCUUGUUACUUCAAAAGAAAAUCCCAUAUCCACAGCCAGUGCUAAUGUUAAAUCUUGUGUGAGCUACAUUCAGGUAAACGGUCUCUCAGCUCUGCACUUUUAACACCACACAGAUAUCACGUACUGACAGACUGAAUUUUCUUAAACUAGCCAAAUACUCACUAAUCGACUCUCCCUCGAGUUGACUCCUUGCAUGAUACUUACAUCUUUCAGCAAUACAAUUUGUCAUCGGUAUGUAGUGACCUUUCAACAGCGCAACCAACUGUCAACGUUGUUUCACUUAGUUUCUGUGGCGCAUUAAAGUCCUGUAAUGACCUGACUAGAUCAUAAAGGAACAAUUGUCCAGACAGAUGAUUGAGUUUACAAAUUGACGGUUUACAUUAACCCAAUUUUACGCAGACUACUGUUUGGCCGUAGCCAACACCAAAUAAAUUAAAGAUAAUCCACAAGCCGACCGUGACCUUCUCUUGUGAAAGCCAGAUGUAAGAGAGUGAAGAAAGGCUAAACCUGGAUUUAAUUUCCAACGCUCCAUCCCCCUGCCCAACCCCCUCCACGCCACUCCACCAACCGCCAGCAUUCCCGGAAUCAGAACAUUCCAGGCAUUACUGUGAUUGGCAGAUAGCAGGUUGAUUGACAUGUCGGACCCCGCGAACACUGGGUACUGGUAAGUAAAACACAACCUCCUUACUAUAGCCUAACACAUAACACACAGCUGUCUGUGCAGGUCGCUACAGUCCAUUAACAAAUUGUAAAUCUUUCUGCCAACAAUCGUCAGAAAAAAUGGUUUUAGACAUAUCCUCGUACUUGAGCCCUUAACGUUUUAGCUUCAAAACAUUCCUCGAAGUGGAAAUUCUCGGCCUCGCCCAGCGAUCUCUUCCGUGCUAGCUUUUCUACAGACUGUCUCGAUGGAGGACAAUGAGAAGCGGACACCGUUGCAUGCUGCUGCCUAUCUAGGAGAUGCAGAAAUUCUAGAGCUACUCAUACUAUCAGGAGCCAGAGUAAAUGCCAAAGACAAGUGUCUCAAUACUCUGCACCGGGCCGUGGCUUCCUGCAGUGAGCAGGCAGUCCAGGUGCUAUUGAAACACUCUGCUGAUGUGAACGCCAGGGACAAGAACUGGCAAACGCCGCUCCACAUCGCUGCGGCCAAUAAGGCAGUCCGCUGUGCCGAGGCCCUGGUCCCUUAGCAAUGUGAACAUAAUAAUAACAUGUCGGACCGAGCGCUGCACCAUGCAGCGGACACCAAGAGUAGGUCGGAGGAGUGAGGUGGAAAAGUCGGCUCUCAUUGAAAAAAAAAAGAGAAAAAAAAACGAUGGUGAGGCUCCUUCUCUCCAGAGAAGCCAACAUUAAUGCUUUUGACAAGGACCGCCAAGCAAUCCACUGGGCUGCUUACAUGGGAGGUUCGUCAUAUGAAGGACAUUCAAGUGGAUGUGACCCCUAACCUGCAAUAGGGGCUCAGUGAGGUGACAGACAUCCUGUAAUGGAUCUCCAGCUAGUGUCUGAGGACCUGGAGAAGGCUGUGUCUACAGCUGUGGGGCAGGACAAGCAUGGUAACCUAACCUCACUGUAUGAAGGAUUUUAUUGUUAUGGAUAGUCAUCUCCAAUCUGUUCAAAUAUCACUGUUGUUGAUAACACACAUUACCAAAAUGAUUCACACUUGUCUUCCUAUUUCCACAUAAUCUGUCAUGGUUCCCCACCCCAACAGGGCAUAAAAGCAACCUCUCUUUAUUGCUACUGCUAAUACACCCAAAUCCAACAGCGUUUGAGUAUCUUUUUGCUUUUCUUCUAACCCUGAAUGGCAACAUUUUAUCCUAGUACACAAGCAUGUCACUUUAUCCAUCCACACCCACUCUACUGCCGCAUGGCCACUGCGGCUGAGACUUUCACCCUCUCGUUACAGGUAUAGCAGGUAACCAACCCCACCCGGGUCUUACCCCCUAGGACUUACCCUUUACAGGUACCUGCCUGCUCGGGCUUACCUUCCGGGACUCACCCUAUUCUUAUAGUACUACCAGGAACCAACCUACUCGGGAUUUACCCCCUAGGAGUUCCCCUCUGCAGGUUUGGGUUUACCUUCCGGGACUUACCAUAUACCACAAAGCUACGACCGGUCGUAAUACAAUGGGACUACUGAAUAAGCUCAGGCUUUCUAGGUUCGUACCCUAUAAUUGGUUCAUCCUACGACUCUCAUCUCCCCAAGAUGUCAGAAUUAGUGAUAACGGGUGUAGGAACUGUGCCGACCUUGUUUCUGUUUCACUGAUUCGGAAUCUCUAGUUCGACUGCAAAUCGCGGUGAACCCUGCUCGCAGUGCCAACUGUUAGGUUCUAAUUCUCAGAGUAAAAACUCGACGGACACUAUGAAUGCUUGAACCAAGUUUAUUCUUCCCAGAGGGUCAAGACCGCUGCAUUAGACAAAAAACAUAUUCACACAAGCACUGAUAUUUAAUACUCUCUCCUAUGCUGAGUUUCCUCCUACACCUCUAAACAGCCAAUGCAUCUCUGUUGCUAGACAGAACCUUAGUGAUAUCUGUUCUUCCUCACUUCAUCUGACCUGACCGCUACCUCAAAGUGCUCACUCCUCCCCAACUCAAGGCUGACAUGGUGAUUGGUAUCAGACUGUGUCUCUUCUCAUCCCAGAGGAUCCCACCCAUAGGAUGCCUGAUGGCUAACAAUAACAUAUCCUGACAUAAUGUAAAUGUUAUACAUUAAGCUCUCUCCCUCAGUGACAUGAAUUAGUAUAUUUCAUAUUCUCAGAACCCAACAGUAGGUUUUAAGGUGUGGCUGCAUGUUUGUCGUGGACGCAUCGUCACUCUUGAUGUUCUUUUUCCAAGUCUGAACAGGCCGUUCUUCUCUUUCCUCAACUAAUUGAAACCUCAGGGACAGACAUCCUGAACGACUCUGAUGUCAGACCUCCCAUCAGCCCUCUACACCUCGCUGUGCUGUCGGGGUGCUGGGGUGGCUCCUACACACCGCCCAGUCAGUGUGGACCCUCCCAGUCAACACAGACAACCAGGGCUACACGCCACUACACUGGGCCUGCUACAACGGUACUAACUGGACAGAGGGACAGCGAAGUGGGCCAGAGGCCACAAACAAAUACACACAUAAACAUAGCGUGUCUUAAAUCUCCACAGCCAGCUUCGGGAAGGCACGAACCAAGCCAUCCGCACAGGAACCUUAAGAGUCCAUCAGAGAGCAAGAGAGAAGAGGGAGGGAUAGAGGGAGGC
Long non-coding RNA from Oncorhynchus gorbuscha (pink salmon), 3936 nucleotides. RefSeq lists it as uncharacterized. The record is from RefSeq and is a predicted model, not a curated record. Lineage: Eukaryota; Metazoa; Chordata; Actinopteri; Salmoniformes; Salmonidae. The transcript is spliced from 8 exons.